Molecule: ribosomal RNA, 230 nt
Filed under: uncultured bacterium
Lineage: Bacteria
Description: partial 16S ribosomal RNA
Rfam family: Bacterial small subunit ribosomal RNA
Source: RNAcentral
CGGGUGAGUAACGCGUGGGUAACCUGCCUCAUACAGGGGAUAACAGUUAGAAAUGACUGCUAAUACCGCAUAAGCGCACAGUAUCGCAUGAUACAGUGUGAAAAACUCCGGUGGUACAAGAUGGACCCGCGUCUGAUUAGCUAGUUGGUAAGGUAACGGCUUACCAAGGCGACGAUCAGUGGCCGACCUGAGAGGGUGACCGGCCACAUUGGGACUGAGACACGGCCCAA